This 74-nucleotide transfer RNA is filed under the name Streptomyces sp. IMCr09. Its description in RNAcentral is "Achromobacter sp. SLBN-14 tRNA-Arg". It matches the Rfam family "tRNA". From Rfam's summary of the family: Transfer RNA (tRNA) molecules are approximately 80 nucleotides in length. RNAcentral also lists the same sequence under 3 other names. Lineage: Bacteria; Bacillati; Actinomycetota; Actinomycetes; Kitasatosporales; Streptomycetaceae. The record is from RNAcentral.
GCGGCAGUAGCUCAGCUGGAUAGAGCACGGGCCUUCUAAGCCUGAGGUCGGGGGUUCGAGCCCCUCCUGCCGCG